AGCUCCAAUAGCGUAUAUUAAAGUUGUUGCAGUUAAAAAGCUCGUAGUUGGAUUUCUGUUUUUAGUUACCGGUCCGCUCAUGUAUUUGAGUGUGUACUAUGGUUACUAAAUUCAUUUUUUGUAAGGAGGUUCUACUGGCAUUAAGUUGUCCGGUGGUACGUACUUGCAUCUUUUACUGUGAAAAAAUUAGAGUGUUUAAAGCAGGCGUUCGCUUUAUUUGAAUACAUUAGCAUGGAAUAAUAAGAUACGACUUGUGUGGUCUAUUUUGUUGGUUUGCACACGCGAGUAAUGAUUAAUAGGGACAGUUGGGGGUAUUCAUAUUUCAGCGUCAGAGGUGAAAUUCUUGGAUCGCUGAAAGAUGAGCUUAGGCGAAAGCAUUUACCAUGGAUGUUUUCAUUAA
This 400-nucleotide ribosomal RNA is filed under the name phytoplankton environmental sample. Its description in RNAcentral is "partial small subunit ribosomal RNA". It matches the Rfam family "Eukaryotic small subunit ribosomal RNA", at positions 587 to 976 of the family's 1831-position model. The record is from RNAcentral.